CCUUGAAAUACCACCCUUUAAUGUUUGAUGUUCUAACGUUGGCCCCUGAUCGGGGUUGCGGACAGUGUCUGGUGGGUAGUUUGACUGGGGCGGUCUCCUCCUAAAGAGUAACGGAGGAGCACGAAGGUUGGCUAAUCCUGGUCGGACAUCAGGAGGUUAGUGCAAUGGCAUAAGCCAGCUUGACUGCGAGCGUGACGGCGCGAGCAGGUGCGAAAGCAGGUCAUAGUGAUCCGGUGGUUCUGAAUGGAAGGGCCAUCGCUCAACGGAUAAAAGGUACUCCGGGGAUAACAGGCUGAUACCGCCCAAGAGUUCAUAUCGACGGCGGUGUUUGGCACCUCGAUGUCGGCUCAUCACAUCCUGGGGCUGAAGUAGGUCCCAAGGGUAUGGCUGUUCGCCAUUUAAAGUGGUACGCGAGCUGGGUUUAGAACGUCGUGAGACAGUUCGGUCCCUAUCUGCCGUGGGCGCUGGAGAACUGAGGGGGGCUGCUCCUAGUACGAGAGGACCGGAGUGGACGCAUCACUGGUGUUCGGGUUGUCAUGCCAAUGGCACUGCCCGGUAGCUAAAUGCGGAAGAGAUAAGUGCUGAAAGCAUCUAAGCACGAAACUUGCCCCGAGAUGAGUUCUCCCUGACUCCUUGAGAGUCCUGAAGGAACGUUGAAGACGACGACGUUGAUAGGCCGGGUGUGUAAGCGCAGCGAUGCGUUGAGCUAACCGGUACUAAUGAACCGUGAGGCUUAACCUU
This 741-nucleotide ribosomal RNA is filed under the name Escherichia coli. RNAcentral describes it as "partial 23S ribosomal RNA". It matches the Rfam family "Bacterial large subunit ribosomal RNA", at positions 2190 to 2925 of the family's 2925-position model. Lineage: Bacteria; Pseudomonadati; Pseudomonadota; Gammaproteobacteria; Enterobacterales; Enterobacteriaceae. The record is from RNAcentral.